AUUCGAUCACUGCAAUCUAGACACAUUGGUGAUCAAAAGUUGUGCUAUUUGUGACUGUACGUUUAACCGCGUGCCCGUGACGACGUGUCGAAUUCCGCCGAUUGGCCAUAAAACAGAUAGUACUCAACUUCAGUGUAUCAUGUCCAAUCUCUAAACUUCACAUAGCCUAUUCUGUAACAGUCCCACCCUGAACACGUCCUCACAACUUCAGUGUACAUGGUGCGAGGGCCCGUUCAUCGCUGCUUGCAGCUUUAAUUUUUCUAUUGAAUCCCAUGAGUCACUCCAUCGGCAGACAUAUGUGACAAAGACCACAAACAUAUGAAUGUUUAAAUGUGUGAUUAUAGAACUUGUGUUGAACUAUAUAUCACUUCAGUCUGGUUCCUGAAUCAUCAGUGCAGCUGGAUAGACGGCAGCCUCUACAUGUAAAAGCUAUCACAUCAUUUUACAGUGAAGUCAUUCUGAAACUGUAGCCAGAAGAGCAUGAGGAAAACACUGAGCGGAGUCACAGGGAGCAGAUAUUUCUGCAGCAGCAAGGUAUACCAAUCUAGUAGCAAAUCCCCUCAUGUGAAUGAUGGCAGAGACAGUCUGACAGACACAUGGGCUGAAGUGGGCCAAAGACGAAUAAUACACUUGUUCUAUUUAAAUAUCUGUCACAUUGGCAGGGGCAAAUCUCUGGCUGCUGUGACUGCUGCCACCCCAUCUACCAUUUGGGUGUCAAAUGCUGUCAAAACUAACACAUUCAUUUAAAAAUACCAUGGAAAAAACCUAAAUGAAUGUACUGAUCUGUUAUGGCCACAUUUUAGACUCAGUAAAUAAGCCUAUUACUUCGAUGACAAAGGGCAUGUAUUUGGAAAAAUACAUGAAGAUUUGGAAAAAACAAAUUUAUUGAUUUCUGCAGCCCUCAUUUGGGGGCUUUUUCAAACAAAUAAUGAUAUGUGAUUGUUUGUGACACCCCAUGAAUAUUUAUCUGGAUCCAAUCCUGCAAACUGGUGCAUGAUUAUUAAAUUUAGAAAAAGAAAAAAAAACACACAACACAAUUUACUCGAUGUGGGUUUGUUGAUGGUGUUGUGUGAUUUAGGUCUACCUCAUUUUUAAGGCUGCAUAAUUAAUCAAAGUAUUAUCAAAAUGGCAAUAUGGGCAAUUUUCAAAAGGCAGAAGCUGCAGUAAGGUAAAAUGUGUAACAGCCAGCAUUAUAAUAAAGUACUGCAAAGAUGUCCUGGCCUACGAAUCUUGUUCUCCAGAACUUUUUUGUAUGAUGUUUUUAUCAUAUUGUGCAGCCCUUAGUUUACCUUCUGUUAUUUAUCGAGUUACAACAUAAGUGUAAUACUCAAGUGAAAUAUUCAAGUGAAUGUAUAAAUACAAAACAAAGCUACAUGAUAUGGUAAAAACAUCAUAUUGCGAUCAUUUUGAUAGAUAUUGCGAUAUAAUUAAUGUGGGAACGAUCAUUUUUGCAUCGGCAAAUUAAUUUUUUUUUCUAAAAAAACUAUUAAAAUCAUGAUGAUGACUAAUGUAAUCCAUUAUAAAGCUGUUUGUCACACAUUGUACCUUUAUCAAGACAUUGUAGCUUCUGUGAUUUGCAUAUUGCACUUGGCCAUAUUGCGAUUGUGGUUUAUUGCGUAGACCUGAUACAGAGCCGUUCCUCCUGGAAAUGUUACUAUUUACAGAGGUAGUCUAAUUUAGUGGUUGGCAUUUUAAAUGAAGCAAGAGGGAAGGAAGUCCCAGGCUGACGCGACAACUACAAAUGAAUAUGUAUUUUUUUUUUAGCUGGAAUACGUUUUUGAAGAAUAAAUCGGCGGGUCAAAUUUGAAUCCAGACAAAUGAACAUGUCUGCUUAGGAAAAGUGUUGCCCGACAGAGAGCAGCGGGUCUAAAGCUGGAUGGAACCAUGCAGACUGUUUUGGUAGCCUAUGGAUGAUAUGCUAUGAGGAAUUGAUGAGCUUUCAUUCGGCUGCAGGCGGAGGGCGGAGUCUCAGUGUCCACAGUUUGUUGAGAUGGCUGUUUCGCCUUGAACUCCGCCUCCCAGUCAUCACUUCCUUCCAGACUGUGUGCUGCUGUACAAACCGGGCGAUGUGGCGUAGCACCGACAGGGGCGGAUCGAGAGAAAUAUUUAUGGGGUGGCCAGAGGGUCGCAUGGACACUUUAAAGCUGCAGUAGGUAACUUUUAUUAUAUUGGCUGAAACAUUUACUAUAUCCUGACAGUAGUUAAUGAGACAGAAAAUCUGGUUCCUUUGGCUCUUUGUGGUGUUCCUAAUGGUAUUUGCAAGAAUCGUAAACAAACACAACCAAUCAGAGCAAAGAUGAAUGGGUUGAUAGCUUGAAAAUGGUCGAUUGUUGAGUCUCAUUACCAUUGUCGGUAUUUGACGACCUGGGAAUGAGACUCAACAAUCAACUAUCUGGUUCUCAUUGGUUAUUUUUCUUCAGGUAUGGUAGAUUCUUGCAAAUACCAUUAGGAGCACUAGGAGCAGCCAGAGGAACCUGAUUUUUUCACAGAUUAUCUGAUCUGAUCACAUAUCUGCCUCAUAUAUGAACCAGAAUAUAGUGAAAAGUUUUAUUAAAUAUGAAAAGAAAUUAUUUUUAUAAAAAUUACCUACUGCAGCUUUAAGGGGCAGCAGAAGUAUAUGCUGAGUAAUGAAGAUAUUUGAACUUUUGCAAACAUUGCAUUAUUGCGGCACAAGCAUUGAAUAAAAAUAUGUAAAGAUGGCAUUAGAAAUCAAUAAAUUGUUUUAUUUCCAAAUCUUCUGACAUUUUUAAAAA
Morone saxatilis (striped sea-bass) is the source of this 2753-nucleotide long non-coding RNA. RefSeq lists it as uncharacterized. The transcript has 2 exons. The record is from RefSeq and is a predicted model, not a curated record. Lineage: Eukaryota; Metazoa; Chordata; Actinopteri; Moronidae.